UAUCAAUAAGCGGAGGAAAAGAAACCAACAGGGAUUGCCCCAGUAACGGCGAGUGAAGCGGCAACAGCUCAAAUUUGAAAUCUGGCCCCCCCGCGGGGGCCCGAGUUGUAACCUGCAGAGGAUGCUUCGGGCGCCGCGCCUUCCGAGUUCCCUGGAACGGGACGCCAUAGAGGGUGAGAGCCCCGUCCGGUCGGCGGCCGGCGCCCGCGUGAAGCGCCUUCGACGAGUCGAGUAGUUUGGGAAUGCUGCUCAAAAUGGGAGGUAUAUGUCUUCUAAAGCUAAAUACCGGCCAGAGACCGAUAGCGCACAAGUAGAGUGAUCGAAAGAUGAAAAGCACUUUGAAAAGAGGGUUAAACAGUACGUGAAAUUGUUGAAAGGGAAGCGCUCGCGACCAGACUCGGGCGCGGCGGAUCGGUCGGCGCUCCGCGCCGGCGCACUCCGUCGCGCCCGGGCCAGCAUCGGCUCGCGGCGGCGAACAAAGGCGGCGGGAACGUGGCCCCCCACGCGGGGGGUGUUAUAGCCCGCCGCGCAACGCGUCGGCCGCGGGCCGAGGACCGCGCCCCUAGGGCAAGGAUGCUGGCGUAAUGGUCGCCAGUGACCCGUCUUGAAACACGGACCAAGGAGUCGUCUUCGUAUGCGAGUGUUCGGGCGUCAAACCCCUACGCGGAAUGAAAGUGAACGCUGGUGGGAGCCCCCCAGCGGGGCGCACCACCGACCGAUCCUGAAGCUCGUCGGACGGAUUUGAGUAAGAGCAUACGGGGCCGGACCCGAAAGAAGGUGAACUAUGCCUGUGUAGGGUGAAGCCAGAGGAAACUCUGGUGGAGG
This 825-nucleotide ribosomal RNA is filed under the name Ophiocordyceps aphodii. Its description in RNAcentral is "LSU rRNA". It matches the Rfam family "Eukaryotic large subunit ribosomal RNA", at positions 41 to 873 of the family's 3401-position model. The record is from RNAcentral. Lineage: Eukaryota; Fungi; Ascomycota; Sordariomycetes; Hypocreales; Ophiocordycipitaceae.